Molecule: ribosomal RNA, 447 nt
Filed under: uncultured bacterium
Lineage: Bacteria
Description: partial 16S ribosomal RNA
Rfam family: Bacterial small subunit ribosomal RNA
Source: RNAcentral
AACGAACGCUGGCGGCAGGCUUAGCACAUGCAAGUCGAACGCCCCGCAAGGGGAGUGGCAGACGGGUGAGUAACGCGUGGGAAUCUACCGUACCCUACGGAACAACAGUUGGAAACGACUGCUAAUACCGUAUACGCCCUACGGGGGAAAGAUUUAUCGGGGUAUGAUGAGCCCGCGUUGGAUUAGCUAGUUGGUGGGGUAAAGGCCUACCAAGGCGACGAUCCAUAGCUGGUCUGAGAGGAUGAUCAGCCACAUUGGGACUGAGACACGGCCCAAACUCCUACGGGAGGCAGCAGUGGGGAAUAUUGGACAAUGGGCGCAAGCCUGAUCCAGCCAUGCCGCGUGAGUGAUGAAGGUCUUAGGAUUGUGAAGCUCUUUCACCGAUGAAGAUAAUGACGGUAGUCGGAGAAGAAGCCCCGGCUAACUUCGUGCCAGCAGCCGCCGUAA